Molecule: ribosomal RNA, 1484 nt
Filed under: uncultured Bordetella sp.
Lineage: Bacteria; Pseudomonadati; Pseudomonadota; Betaproteobacteria; Burkholderiales; Alcaligenaceae
Description: partial 16S-23S ribosomal RNA intergenic spacer
Rfam family: Bacterial small subunit ribosomal RNA
Source: RNAcentral
GUUCGAUUAUGGCUCAGAUUGAACGCUGGCGGGAUGUACUUUACACAUGCAAGUCGAACGGCAGCACGGACUUCGGUCUGGUGGCGAGUGGCGAACGGGUGAGUAAUGUAUCGGAACGUGCCUAGUAGCGGGGGAUAACUACGCGAAAGCGUAGCUAAUACCGCAUACGCCCUUCGGGGGAAAGCGGGGACCUUCGGGCCUCGCACUAUUAGAGCAGCCGAUAUCGGAUUAGCUAGUUGGUGGGAGUAACGGCUCACACCAAGGCGACGAUCCGUAGCUGGUUUGAAGGACGACCAGCCACACUGGGACUGAGACCACGGCCCAGACUCCACCACGGGAGAGGCAGCGGUGAAAAUUUUGGACAAUGGGGAAACCCUGAUCCAGCCAUCCCGCGUGUGCGAUGAAGGCCUUCGGGUUGUAAGCACUUUGGCAGAAGAAACGGCACGGGAUAAUACCCCGUGCAACUGACGUACCUGCAGAAUAAGCACCGGCUAACUACGUGCCAGCAGCCGCGGUAAUGCACGUAAGUGCAAGCGUUAAUCGGAAUUACUGGGCGUAAAGCGUGCGCAGGCGGUUCCGGAAAGAAAGAUGUGAAAUCCCAGAGCUUAACUUUGGAACUGCAUUUUAACUACCGAGCUAGAGUGUGUCAGAGGAGGUGGAAUUCCACGUGUAGCAGUGAAAUGCGUAGAUAUGCGGAGGAACACCGAUGGCGAAGGCAACCUCCUGGGAUAACUGACGCUCAUGCACGAAAGCGUGGGGAGCAAACAGGAUUAGAUACCCUGGUAGUCCACGCCUAAACGAUGUCAACUAGCUGUUGGGGCCUUCGGGCCUUGGUAGCGCAACUAACGCGUGAAGUUGACCGCCUGGGAAUUACGGUCGCAAGAUUAAAACUCAAAGGAAUUGACGGGGACCCGCAAGCGGUGGAUGAUGUGGAUUAAUUCGAUGCAACGCGAAAAACCUUACCUACCCUUGACAUGUCUGGAAUCCCGAAGAGAUUUGGGAGUGCUCGCAAGAGAACCGGAACACAGGUGCUGCAUGGCUGUCGUCAGCUCGUGUCGUGAGAUGUUGGGUUAAGUCCCGCAACAGGCGCAACCCUUGUCAUUAGUUGCUACGAAAGGGCACUCUAAUGAGACUGCCGGUGACAAACCGGAGGAAGGUGAGGAUGACGUCAAGGUCCUCAUGGCCCUUAUGGGUAGGGCUUCACGUCAUACAAUGGUCGGGACAGAGGGUCGCCAACCCGCGAAGGGGGAGCCAAUCCCAGAAACCCGAUCGUAGUCCGGAUCACCGGUGCCGCAACUCGACUGCGUGAAGUCGGAAUCGCUAGUAAUCGCGGAUCAGCAUGUCGCGGUGAAUACGUUCCCGGGUCUUGUACACACCGCCCGUCACACCAUGGGAGUGGGUUUACCAGAAGUAGUUAGCCUAACCGUAAGGAGGGCGAUUACCACGGUAGGAUUCAUGACUGGGGUGAAGUCGUAACAAGGUAG